This 874-nucleotide long non-coding RNA is filed under the name Nicotiana benthamiana. RNAcentral's name for it is "long non-coding RNA (NBEN_LNC020501)". The record is from RNAcentral. Lineage: Eukaryota; Viridiplantae; Streptophyta; Magnoliopsida; Solanales; Solanaceae.
AUGGCUGUGGUGGCCGAAGCGCCAGCAUGCUCUCACUUCCAUGUGGUUGAGCUUGUUGUGACGUACCUAGCAAAUGGUUCUGAGGAGGAAAUGAAGCACCAUUUAACUGCAUGUUGCCAUUUAGAUUCAUGCGCUGAGGCUGCAUGGUAUAUCUGCUACUGAGGCUCUCAUUAUACCCUGCUAACAGAGAAAUAUUCAUGUUAUGAAGUCAUAAAUUGGUAGAACUAUAAAAAUCCAAGGUCAGAUUCAUGUGCUGAGGCUGCAUGGUAUAUCUGCUACUGAGGCUCUCAUUAUACCCUGUUAACAGAGAAAUAUUCAUGUUAUGAAGAGGGUGUUUAGAUUGACUUAAAAAGCUGGUCAAACUUGCUUAAAAGCACAUUUUGGCUUGUUUGAGUGUUUGGCAAUCCUAAAAACAGCUUUUAAGUCAAGUACUUUUAAGCUGAAUUAAGUCAAAAGCAACAAGUUUGGAAUGUCCAACUUAUUGCUUUUUAGCUUAAAAGCUUUUCAUGUUUGACCAAAUAAUUGACCUUAUUAUCCCUCUUUAUUUUAUAAAUUACAAAAUACCCUUACUUUAUUAAUUAAGUCAUAACGUCAUUUUUCCCCGUCUUUCAUUUUGACGUAACAGAUAUCUUUCUUCAUAUUAUUAUAAUAAAUAAGGUUGCUUUAUUUUUCUGUGAUAAGUAAUUAAUAAAACCCUUAAUUACCUAAUGUUAGACAAAUGUGAGAACUAGCAUAGAAAAAAAAAGAAAGAAACGAUGCAAAGGCUGAGGCAUUAGUUUUAUUGACAUUAAUUUAUACUUCUAUUACAUUUUUUUCAUUUCACUCUAGAAACAAAUAGUUUUAUUUAGUAGUUGAAUAUUCAGAACAAAAGCAU